This 1941-nucleotide long non-coding RNA is filed under the name Cricetulus griseus (Chinese hamster). RNAcentral's name for it is "lncRNA (ENSCGRG00015041473.1)". Lineage: Eukaryota; Metazoa; Chordata; Mammalia; Rodentia; Cricetidae. The record is from RNAcentral.
CCCCAGCUCCCACAUGUCAUUUCAUUAGCAGAUAUCUAUAACUCCAGUUUCAAGGGAUUCAAACCUUCAUCUGGCCUCUGAGAGAAGCACACAAAUGUGUUGGACCAACAUACAUGCAGGAAAAAUGGUGGUAUGAACAAAAUAAUAAAAUAAACUUCAUAAAGUAAAACAACUAAUAUAACUGUAGUUAAGAUGGCUGGGGUUUUGAGUGAAUGUGAUAAAUAGAGUUCUGAUGUUCAGGAGCAGUUUAGAAAGGAGGGAGUGCCGGAAUAGUUGACACAAGAACAGGUCACAAUGUACAUGAGGAUUUCAGUUCUUAUGCAUCCUUCCUAAUCCAGUUAGAUCUAUCCAUAUGCACAUAGGACAUUUCAGUUCUAUUGAAGGCCUAAGGUGAGUAUAUUUUAAAGUAACAUCAAAGGAAACAAGAAAAAUUGUCCUAGAGACAAGAGGAAUGUGAGAAUUGCCAACUCUGAAUCAUUCCAACAUCAUUGCACUGAGAGCCUUUGGGGAUAAUAGGAAUUAGGAUCCUCUACAGUUAAACUCUAUCCUAUAAAUUGUCCUGAAGCCAACAAGGCAGUCAAAAUCAACUAGUUCUUCAAAGGAUGUAGUAAUAAUUUUUGUCAGGACAACCAACCCACAAAUAACAACCUGGAGACUUAUUAUUAAUUUUGAAAGAUUGACCCUUAACUUAGCCUUGUCCAAAACUAGUUAUAACUCAAAUUAACAUGCUUCUGUUCAUCUAUGUUCUACCAUAUUACUUGGCUACCUCUGCUUUGUACUGUAUGUAUGACUUCUUCAUAGUUUCAUCGAUUUCCCCUACUUUUCCAGUUCUCAGAGUUCUCUCCCUGCUCAAGAAAUCCUGCUUAUUCCCUCCUGUCUAGCUAUUGGCCAUUUAGCUCUUUUUAAAACCAAUUACAGUGACACAUCCUCACACAGUGCAAACAAAUAUUCUACAUCAGAGGGACAUGCUUGAACCAUAUAGUAUCACAGCCAAAAUCAUAUCCUCAGGUUUGUACAUGGUGAGAAAUCUAAGUAUAAAGUUAGUAAAGAACCAACUCGAUUCCUGCAUAAAAGGGUGAGGGGAAUGUCCAGGAGUUUUGGAGAAUGUCAAGGUCACAUACCACUUCAUAUUACUUUAACUAUUUAGAAGGAUUCUCACUUGCACUUUGUACCACUAUUGGCUCUUUUUUCUUCUCACCUCUUUCUCUCCCUAGGACUUCCCCCCUUUCUCUCUCACAUAAGAAAGAUGGGGAAAAGAAAUAUCCAUAGUGACAAAUUUACCUUCAAAUGUUUAAAAGAGGAUGCGACCUUAAGGAAACCAGAUAAGGCCCUAGCCAAGGAUUUCUCCGUGCUCAAGAUCCGGCCGCUCACACAGGGAACCAAGCUGUUCAAGCUCAAAACCUUGCAGAGGCCAAGUAAGGGAAGCCUGUCCCUCCACAGGGAGGCUGUGUGUGUGCUUUUGUGUUUGGCUUACUUUUCCUUCUUUAUUUCCCUGUUCUUCAAGAGCCUGGGCUACAGUAGCUAGUGAGGCUCAGCUUCCCCUAGGUUUGGAGAGGGCCUAGCGUCAGCUACCACGUGCAUACAUUAUUCCUGUGGGAAAAAUGUUUUUAACACACAGAUACUAUCUAUAUUAAAGCCACAGCUGUGUUUAGAUGCAUAGUGGUGGUAAAAGUUCCACAUUUUGGAACCAGACUACUUGUGUUUCUUUCCUAUUAACUGUGGGACCUAUUUUAAAUUGCUCAGUCACCUCAUAACUCAUGUUUAUAUCUGUGAAAUGGAGACAAUAAAAAUAGUUUUCAUGCCAUCAAAUAUCAUGAGAGAUAUGUGAACUAAUACUUGUGAAGGGAUUCAAAUCGUGUCUUGUGCACGCGUGCGCGCGUGCGUGCGUGCGUGCGUGCGUGCGUGUGUGUGUGUGUGUGUGUGUGUGUGUAUGUGUGUGUG